UCCACACAGUCCAAGAGAGCUGAAUGUCCCUUUCCUCCACUCAGAAUUUCCUGUGCUGGUGUCAGAGACUGGAAAGAUCGAUGUCUUGAGAGCUUCUGGGACACGCGUGUGGAGGGGAAAAGGUCAGGCCUUCCCCGGGCAAGGCAGUGAACUACCUCACAUUUGCCAAAGGGCCUGUAUCCCAGCCUGGCUGAGCUGCCAAGUACUGACACACUAGAGGAAAUGCUCCGCUCUCCACCCCUGGAGCCCCUGACCCAGCUUCUGUGUGGCCAAAUGACCAGAAGUCCCACCUGGGGGGUAGGCCCAUGGAGGCUGAAGGAUGUUUAAGGCUCAGCAUGAGGCCACAUGUCCUGGUACUACUUUCAUCUUGAAGUAUCUAUCUGAACACCACUGGAACUCAGGAGUUUGUAUCUUUA
Cyanistes caeruleus (blue tit) is the source of this 416-nucleotide non-coding RNA. The record is from RefSeq and is a predicted model, not a curated record. NCBI's taxonomy places the organism in Eukaryota, Metazoa, Chordata, Aves, Passeriformes, Paridae.